RNAcentral lists this long non-coding RNA (328 nucleotides) under Nicotiana benthamiana. RNAcentral describes it as "long non-coding RNA (NBEN_LNC001952)". Lineage: Eukaryota; Viridiplantae; Streptophyta; Magnoliopsida; Solanales; Solanaceae. The record is from RNAcentral.
AACGAAAAGCUUGGCCAAACAACCUCAAGUUGAGGAAAAAAGUACUUUUUGUGGAAAAAAAACAUUUUUGGUCCUUGGAGUAGCUUGGCUAAAAGAGGCUAUUAGUGUUAAUUUAGUAUGGUAUUUGUCAAGAAUCCAUGUGUUUUUUAAAGGAUUAGUAUGUCACUAUAGGGAUAUGUGCGAAAUUUGGAGAACCUCUAUUAUGAAAGAGCACUGAAUUUAUCUAUUAUUGAGUAUUCAGAUGAAAUGAGUCCAAAUAGAGCGGAAUGAAAAUAAAGUAUUUCAUAUAUCCAUCUGUGACAAGCUUGUAUAGACAUGAUUGAUUGAU